GCCGACAUAGCUCAGCGGUAGAGCAACUGAUUCGUAAUCAGUAGGUCCCCAGUUCAAUCCUGGGUGUCGGCACCA
This 75-nucleotide transfer RNA is filed under the name Acidiphilium sp. RNAcentral describes it as "tRNA-Thr". It matches the Rfam family "tRNA". Rfam says of the family: Transfer RNA (tRNA) molecules are approximately 80 nucleotides in length. Their secondary structure includes four short double-helical elements and three loops (D, anti-codon, and T loops). RNAcentral also lists the same sequence under 24 other names. The record is from RNAcentral. Lineage: Bacteria; Pseudomonadati; Pseudomonadota; Alphaproteobacteria; Acetobacterales; Acidocellaceae.